RNAcentral lists this long non-coding RNA (614 nucleotides) under Apis dorsata (giant honeybee). RNAcentral's name for it is "uncharacterized LOC102674345, transcript variant X3". Lineage: Eukaryota; Metazoa; Arthropoda; Insecta; Hymenoptera; Apidae. The record is from RNAcentral.
AAUUAGUUAUUAUAAUUAUUUGAAAUAUGUAUUUUAUUGUUAUUUGAUAAAUACAAACUGGAUGGCUUCAUCGUGCAUGAUUACGCAAUUCUUAAUUUGCUCCAUGAUCAUAUUUACCCACAAACUGUAAAUAAUCCGCUGCAGUGAUGAAUUAUGAGAAUCAAUAAUGAAUCUACGGCAACUGAGGUCACCACAACUAUAAUUGAUCCCCAAGCAAGUUGCAAAUAUACAUAGAAAAAGUAAUCGUGAUCGUUAAAAAUCAAAUAAUUAACUUUGAGAAGUUGUUGUCGUGGUCGAGUUUCAUUUAGCGGAAGAAAUACGUCUAAUAUAGGAGAAAUUAAUGGAAUCAAUAAGAACAAUACCAAAGCUAUCAACAAUGCACCUAAAAAUAUGGAGUUUACUAAGCGUACAAUAACAAAAGAUUUUCCAAUAAUUUUCCACUUAAAUUUGUCGAACGAAUUCUUAAAAAGUAAAUUUAUUCGCAAUAUGUAUUCGUUCUCGGUGUUUUCAAUAACAAUACCUAUUGCCGAUGAUUCUCAUUUCAUUUCGAAAAAAAUGUAUAUAAACUUUAUUCUUUCAGAUUAAAAUUACUAAUUAUAAUAUAUUUUUAGGAU